GGGCUCAGCUGUCUCGAGCAGAUUCACUGAGUGAGAUGAGGACUCGGGGAGGGAGCAGGUGAGGGCCCCAGGAGGGGGUCCUGGGCCAUGAACCUGUCUGGGGAACAACGGGAGAGGCCCACGAGGAUGCCUCCAAGGACCACAGGGCUCGUGGGGAGAAGCUGGAGGAAGCCUGGUGGGGAAACGGGGUUGGAGCAGGGGGACAGAGGGAAGAAGCCCUGGUAGCGCCAGGGCCUGAGGCAGAGAGGUACGACAGAGGACACCCAGUGGUGAGGCCUUGUAGGGCGGGAGACGCGUUCCCCAGAGAUGCUGCCAGAGGGGCCUCGCCGGAACCAGGUUCUCUAAGCUACAUCCAGCUGGUGGCUUCUAAAGAGAACUGGACACCAUGGCAUCUGCCAGCCCAGACGCCUAUCACCAGCAGAAUAAGCCAGACCCAAGAAAAUGCUUGUGAACAGGGAUCUCUGUUCCCAUCACCACUGCUAGAAGGGCCAAAGCACGUUCCUCCAUGUGAUUUAUCUGCGCAUUCAAAAGCCUAGGGAGAGCCUCCCUGUCUGCCAGCAUUUUGGGAGAAUGCCCAGGACCUGUGCAAGGAAAUCAGAUUCUCUGGCAGCUGCUUUCAAAGGCCACAGAUACUCUAAAAAAGACAGAGUUGGAACUGAAACUCUGACUUGGGAGAGUCACCUUGCUGGGGACUCACAAAGAGCGAGGAAGAGCAGGGGUGUUGUGGCCCCGAGUCAGCCCUUCUCAAUUUGUCCAUACCAGCCAGCAGGCAUUUGCGCUGAGCUGGACAGCAGCCCAGCCCAGCAAGGCCGACAUCUCAGUUCACAUCAGAGGUCAGUAAAGCAGGGCGACUGGAACACAGAGAUCCUGCCAUGAUGAUGGCAGCUCACUUGGAGGGCCUGGGCAUGCCCAGCAGGCGCUGAGCCCUGUUGAGGGGGACAGGAGGCUGACAAAGGGCCCCGGGAGAGGUCAGCAAGCGGCCACACAGACUCCAAAGCUGUCUGCUCUGUUCCAAAGGUGCUCUCCCUGCCUAAGCUGGAAUAACAACUUUGAGGAGAUAAAACACUUUUUACCAUCCAUGGACUCUUGCUACCAAAGAUCCUUCCAGAGACCUGUGCCCUCCCCUCACCAAAGAAACUUAAUCCCCAUGAAGCUCUGCCUUUCAGGAUGUUUGGACAACUCUGGGUUGACUCUUUUCCCCUGACCACAUGAUCGUCUUCAUGGGUAAGCCAGGUACGCACUGUUGGCCCACACCUGAACCGCACUGAAUAAUAACCCUCGCCUGGACGCAACAUCUAACAGAUCACAACAGCUCAUGCAGGCUUGCUCUGUCACACAGCCAAUGCUCUUAACCUUCAGCAAAACUGUUUUUUCAUGCAACACAGUUAAAUCAGCCCACUUUGUUUCAACAUGUUCUCAUCAUUUCUGAGACAUGGUGUCAGUUGUCACUAGAUGGAAAUGAACAACUUAGGAAUCAAAAAGGAAGAACAGAAGACAGUUUUUAAUGAUUCAAAUUAUAUUAUGCAAAGUUCCCCCAAACACAAGUGACCACAAAACGCUCUACUAACGUAGGAUUUUGUGUUCUGCAAAUAAAAUGUGCUAGCUGUGCCAGUUCAUUUUUGGGUACCACGCCUAGUGUUCCCUUUUCCAGGCCAGAACCCCCGAUGCCAAGACUCUUGGGGUGGGGAGGAGGGGCUUCCUGUUUGGCCAUGAACCCAUUCCAUGACCCAGAGAAAAUUUCUGUCUUUUUCUUCCGAUCUUAGGAGGAGACACACUUCCCCGAAGUGAGAUGUCCAGCUGAAGCCAGCUGAAGUCCAUAGAGAGAGGCGAGUGUCCACACCAGCACCCCAACUUCAGUUCCUUGUCGAGGGGUGGUGCUCCAAACACAAUGCCAGAGGACGAUGAUUGACCGUAAAAAUGUGAAAAUCUAUGCAGUUCCUAGAGCUGCCCAGAGAGCAGUGGAACCUGGUUUGUGCUUUCUUUCACUUUUAAUGACUUCCUCUGCAGACAAAGCCCCACCAGGACAGAACUUACCAAGUUCAGAAAGUUCCAGGGCAUUCUACCAGGCUACCCUUAUUCUCAAAAGUUGCUGGGCUCUGUGGGCGACCUUUUGGGCCUCCUCCAGCCCCUCCUAAUUCUUCCAGGGGAAGAUAGGGUCACCUGACCCCCCAGUGCUGGUGGCCAGGAUCUGAGCUAGAUCUUGGACCCCUUGACACCCCAGGCAGCUGCUGCCCUGUGGCAGGCUGCAUGGCACAGGGUCCCAGGACAAGCAGGUGCUCCCAGGGCCUUUGGGGUGCCUGAGCUCAGGCUAACCUUGUCCUUCACCAUCUCCCUGAUUUCAAUCAAACACAUGUCCAUUGAGUCAGUGAGGCCAUCCAACCAUCUCAUCCUCUGUCAUCCCCUUUUCCUCAUGCUCUCAAUCUUUCCUAGCAUCAGGGUCUUUUCCAAAGAGUCAGCUCUGUGGCCCAAGUAUUGGAACUUCAGUAUCAGUCCUUCCAAUGAAUAUUCAGGGUUGAUUUCCUUAGGAUUGACUGGUCUGAUCUCCUUGCUGUCCAAGGAACUGUCGGGAGUCUUCUCCAGCACCACAGUUCGAAAGCAUCAAUUCUUCUUCACUCAGCCUUCUUCAUGGUUCAAAUCUCACAUCCACACAUGACUCCUGGCCAUGAUCUAAUACCAUUUUCUGUCUUUAUCUAUUUUUUUAUGGUAACCUCUUCAUGGUAAUGACACAUAUUUAUCUUUUUAAAAAUAAAUUCACUCUUUUAGUAAAAUACAUGUCUUGUUCAAAGAAAAAAAAUGUGUAAAUAAUGGUUUCAAGGAAUAAAAUCUACAAUGAAGUUUGGAAACACUGAAUCUGAUCCUGCCUCUGACAUCUGAAAGGCUUUCAUAGCAUCCCCAUCAGAAGAGGGGCUAGUUCUGCUCACACACCUCCUGUGAUGGGGAGCUCACUACAUACAAAAGGCAGGCAGCCCUAUUUAGCUUUCCAGGGCAGUGCUGAGCCCAGGUCUACAGGGCAACUCAACUCUCCAUCCUCACGGGGACAUCUCUGUAUAGUGGGCACUCGUUUACACCCGCAGCCUGCUCUGCCAGGUAAAACAGCCAACUGGGCAGCAGUUCCACUUCCUCUUGGAGGGAACCUUGCCACCCAGGAACAACAGUUGGUGGUUUUUUCUCUUAAAGAGCAGCACCAGGAAUGGAGGCCAGUGUUCCAGGAGGAGCUGGACCUUUCCCCGGCUUCCAGGAGUGGAGGCUAGGAGGCAGCCACUAGCCCUGGGGACAUCACCAGGAACUCCCAGGACCACUAGAGAGUAGGCAAAAGCUGGGCUCUGAAGGAAGAGCAUUUCACAAAUAACUGUGUGACUGGGGCCUUCCCCUAUAAGCCCCAGCACCUCUUCCUCUGGCUCCGACU
Molecule: long non-coding RNA, 3406 nt
Organism: Bos taurus (domestic cattle)
Lineage: Eukaryota; Metazoa; Chordata; Mammalia; Artiodactyla; Bovidae
Source: Ensembl